This 1371-nucleotide ribosomal RNA is filed under the name uncultured bacterium. RNAcentral's name for it is "bacterial SSU rRNA". It matches the Rfam family "Bacterial small subunit ribosomal RNA", at positions 28 to 1380 of the family's 1533-position model. The record is from RNAcentral.
GAUGAACGCUGGCGGCGUGCCUAAUACAUGCAAGUCGAGCGAACGGACGAGAAGCUUGCUUCUCUGAUGUUAGCGGCGGACGGGUGAGUAACACGUGGAUAACCUACCUAUAAGACUGGGAUAACUUCGGGAAACCGGAGCUAAUACCGGAUAAUAUUUUGAACCGCAUGGUUCAAAAGUGAAAGACGGUCUUGCUGUCACUUAUAGAUGGAUCCGCGCUGCAUUAGCUAGUUGGUAAGGUAACGGCUUACCAAGGCAACGAUGCAUAGCCGACCUGAGAGGGUGAUCGGCCACACUGGAACUGAGACACGGUCCAGACUCCUACGGGAGGCAGCAGUAGGGAAUCUUCCGCAAUGGGCGAAAGCCUGACGGAGCAACGCCGCGUGAGUGAUGAAGGUCUUCGGAUCGUAAAACUCUGUUAUUAGGGAAGAACAUAUGUGUAAGUAACUGUGCACAUCUUGACGGUACCUAAUCAGAAAGCCACGGCUAACUACGUGCCAGCAGCCGCGGUAAUACGUAGGUGGCAAGCGUUAUCCGGAAUUAUUGGGCGUAAAGCGCGCGUAGGCGGUUUUUUAAGUCUGAUGUGAAAGCCCACGGCUCAACCGUGGAGGGUCAUUGGAAACUGGAAAACUUGAGUGCAGAAGAGGAAAGUGGAAUUCCAUGUGUAGCGGUGAAAUGCGCAGAGAUAUGGAGGAACACCAGUGGCGAAGGCGACUUUCUGGUCUGUAACUGAUGCUGAUGUGCGAAAGCGUGGGGAUCAAACAGGAUUAGAUACCCUGGUAGUCCACGCCGUAAACGAUGAGUGCUAAGUGUUAGGGGGUUUCCGCCCCUUAGUGCUGCAGCUAACGCAUUAAGCACUCCGCCUGGGGAGUACGACCGCAAGGUUGAAACUCAAAGGAAUUGACGGGGACCCGCACAAGCGGUGGAGCAUGUGGUUUAAUUCGAAGCAACGCGAAGAACCUUACCAAAUCUUGACAUCCUUUGACAACUCUAGAGAUAGAGCCUUCCCCUUCGGGGGACAAAGUGACAGGUGGUGCAUGGUUGUCGUCAGCUCGUGUCGUGAGAUGUUGGGUUAAGUCCCGCAACGAGCGCAACCCUUAAGCUUAGUUGCCAUCAUUAAGUUGGGCACUCUAAGUUGACUGCCGGUGACAAACCGGAGGAAGGUGGGGAUGACGUCAAAUCAUCAUGCCCCUUAUGAUUUGGGCUACACACGUGCUACAAUGGACAAUACAAAGGGCAGCGAAACCGCGAGGUCAAGCAAAUCCCAUAAAGUUGUUCUCAGUUCGGAUUGUAGUCUGCAACUCGACUACAUGAAGCUGGAAUCGCUAGUAAUCGUAGAUCAGCAUGCUACGGUGAAUACGAUCCCGGGUC